RNAcentral lists this ribosomal RNA (253 nucleotides) under uncultured bacterium. RNAcentral describes it as "partial 16S ribosomal RNA". It matches the Rfam family "Bacterial small subunit ribosomal RNA", at positions 524 to 776 of the family's 1533-position model. The record is from RNAcentral.
UACGUAGGGGGCAAGCGUUGUCCGGAUUUAUUGGGCGUAAAGAGCGUGUAGGCGGCCAGGUAGGUCUGCUGUGAAAACUCGAGGCUUAACCUCGAGAUGUCGGCGGAAACCAUCUGGCUAGAGUCCGGAAGAGGAGAGUGGAAUUCCUGGUGUAGCGGUGAAAUGCGCAGAUAUCAGGAAGAACACCCGUGGCGAAGGCAGCUCUCUGGGACGGUACUGACGCUGAGACGCGAAAGCGUGGGGAGCGAACAGG